UAGAGUUUGAUCCUGGCUCAGGAUAAACGCUAGCGGCAGGCUUAACACAUGCAAGUCGAGGGGCAUCGGGAGGGAAGCUUGCUUUCCUUGCCGGCGACCGGCGCACGGGUGAGUAACACGUAUGCAACCUGCCCUCUUCAGGGGGACAACCUUCCGAAAGGGAGGCUAAUCCCGCGUAUAUCGGUUUCGGGCAUCCGAGAUCGAGGAAAGAUUCAUCGGAAGAGGAUGGGCAUGCGGCGCAUUAGCUUGACGGCGGGGUAACGGCCCACCGUGGCGACGAUGCGUAGGGGUUCUGAGAGGAAGGUCCCCCACACUGGUACUGAGACACGGACCAGACUCCUACGGGAGGCAGCAGUGAGGAAUAUUGGUCAAUGGGAGAGAUCCUGAACCAGCCAAGCCGCGUGAGGGAAGACGGCCCUAUGGGUUGUAAACCUCUUUUGUCGGAGAACAAAACCCGGGACGUGUCCCGGACUGCGUGUAUCCGAAGAAAAAGCAUCGGCUAACUCCGUGCCAGCAGCCGCGGUAAUACGGAGGAUGCGAGCGUUAUCCGGAUUUAUUGGGUUUAAAGGGUGCGUAGGCGGUCCGUUAAGUCAGCGGUAAAAUUGCGGGGCUCAACCCCGUCGAGCCGUUGAAACUGGCAGACUUGAGUUGGCGAGAAGUACGCGGAAUGCGCGGUGUAGCGGUGAAAUGCAUAGAUAUCGCGCAGAACUCCGAUUGCGAAGGCAGCGUACCGGCGCCAGACUGACGCUGAGGCACGAAAGCGUGGGGAUCGAACAGGAUUAGAUACCCU
RNAcentral lists this ribosomal RNA (790 nucleotides) under uncultured bacterium. RNAcentral's name for it is "bacterial SSU rRNA". It matches the Rfam family "Bacterial small subunit ribosomal RNA", at positions 1 to 788 of the family's 1533-position model. The record is from RNAcentral.